Molecule: long non-coding RNA, 425 nt
Organism: Vanessa tameamea
Lineage: Eukaryota; Metazoa; Arthropoda; Insecta; Lepidoptera; Nymphalidae
Exons: 3
Source: RefSeq, a predicted model, not a curated record
UAAAAUUGGGAUUAUUUCACAGAAAAAUAAUUCAAGAUGAAAUUCUUUAUUAUGCUUGCCGCCAUUGUGGCUGUUGCCCUCGCUCGCCCAGGCACAAGCACCUGGACUCUGCAGGAGCUUACUGAUGCUUUACAGAACCCUAACGUCAAUCCCGCAGUUGUGCCCUUCUUGGAACAUGCUCUAAAUGAAUUAAUGAGUGCUCUUCACAAUGGACACGAAUUUGAAAGCAUCCACGUACCCCUGCCAGCUGACAUCGCUAUCAUAGCCGAGCCUGUCAUUCCUUCCCCCGUCGACAUUCCUGCUGUAUCAAGCCCUCUCGUGCAGCUCAUCAUCAACGUGAAGAGUCCAUAGCAGGUGACUGAUGUCGGUACCGCUCCCCCGGCUAACGUUCCCGGACCAGACUUCAACCCUAUCGACGUCAUCGC